Molecule: RNA transcript, 1956 nt
Organism: Vicia villosa (hairy vetch)
Lineage: Eukaryota; Viridiplantae; Streptophyta; Magnoliopsida; Fabales; Fabaceae
Gene name: phosphoglycerate mutase-like protein 1
Exons: 8
Source: RefSeq, a predicted model, not a curated record
AUUAGAAAUUAGAAAUAAGUUUUAUAUAAUUGUAAUUUUUUUAAACACAAAUUAUACUUUUCGUUGUUAUUUUCUUUCUCCCAACUUCCCUCCUCUUCUUUCUCCCAACUUCCUAAUUGAAUUAUAUUCUUGGUUGUUCUUCUUCUUCCUUUCAAGUUCCCUCUUUUUCUUUCUCUCAACUUUCCAAUUGAUGAAUUCGAAAUUGCAAUUCAAAACCCUAAAUUUCUAAAUCCCUCCACUGCGAUGUCACUCUCCUACUCCAACUUCUUUCUCGAUGACGACCUCCUAUACAACGAGAAAACCUCCAGCGUCUUAUCCAGAGAUUUGUUGGCGGAAAGCUUCUCUGAUGUCGAUUCGUCUCCGCCGACGGAGGAAGAGUUAUGCACUUUCUAUUAACUUCACCGGCAGACUCAUAGACUCGCUCUUGUAGGUGUUGCCCAAAAUGUGCUUUGUUAGAUGAAACGAAACGACAUUAUAGUAAUGAGCAGUUGCUGUAGUUUGAGAUCUGAUUUCAUCGUCAUGGAAAUCGAACUGAGUAGUAGCAGUACUAUAGUAAAAGAGGUUUUGGUACCAUUUUUAGUUCCACUGUUAAUCCUAGAUCACUCAGGUUUCAACCCUCUGGUUUGUCUUCUGUUCCUGACAACUUUGAUUUCUCAGUUAUUCCAAUUUUGAGUCUAAUUUUAUAGCUAUUGGUUUAUCUCUCUCCCCAUCAAUGCUUCAGGGUUUUGCCUUUACUGAUUUCAUGAAUGGCUUUAUCUCUCUCCCCAUCAAGGCUCCUGAUUUUGCUUUCAACAAAGCACUUAAGGUUAUAAUCUUUUUCUUAUUCUCGAUUUUAAGUUAUUUUCAUGAUCAAUGAGCAGGUUCAUUUUAUGCCCAACCUCAAAGACAAGAACUUAUACAAGAUUUUUACAAAAAUUAGCACGAUCAUGUUCGUGGCGUGGUUAGUGGUGACAUAUGAAUUUCAACUUUUAGUAAUACCAUAAACUUCAUGUCCUAUUUCUGCAGAGAUUUGUUGGUUUCGUUUAGAGCAACAGGACGGAUGCUGCAAAGGAUUAUAUUUUAUACGUCUGUAUCUUUAAUUUAUAUGUAUUUUAAAAAAUAAUAUCAUGAUAUAUCUAAAUGAUGACAUCUAAAUGGACUACUAAUUGUACAGGGAUGGUGUAAGUGAAGGACAAUUUUACCAAGUUCUACUAUACGAGCUUGAUGAGAUUCGGAAGGUGUGUGUUUCUUUGGAGCCAAACUUUCAUAGUUGUACAAAAAAGACAUCAUACUAAGUUAUUCGCGAACAACCACACGGACAGGAAUAAUACAUAUAGUAGUGAAAAUAUACUGUCUGGAACUGAUGUUUAUACAAAAAUCGAUCACCCAACCGAGUUUGAUUUUUAUCUCUGUAGUCACGCCGGCAUCCAGGGGGUGCAUCCUUGUGAUAAGAGAAGGCACAUCACUGAGUACAAGAAAAUGUUUCCAGCAAUUGAUUUUUCACUGAUUGAGUCUGAUGACGACAUUUUGUGGAAACCUGAUAUUCGAGAGAAGAAUGAAGAAGUUGCUGCCAGGGGACUGAAAUUUUUGGAAUGGUUGUGGACUCAUAAAGAAAAAGAGAUUGAUGUUGUUACUCACAGUGGUUUUCUAUUUCAUACUCUAAGUGCUUUUGGAAAUGAUUGCCAUCCAAAUGUGAAGAGUGAAAUCUGCACACAAUAAGUAUUCAUCUAAAAAUAAUGUAUCAUCUUUUUCUUACAAUAUUCUAAAAAUCGAACAGCCAGUUCAACUAGUUGAACCUUGAACCCACACUGUCUAUAAUUUGAAUGUCUCUCUGGUUCGAUGCUUUGCUAAUUGUGAGCUGCGUUCAGUGGUUAUCAUCGAUAGAGGGAUGAUUGGAUCAAAUGAGUCCUCUACCAACUUUCCUGACAAGAUUCCACACGGCCUUGACCUUCCCAGUGAUGUUGCUGACGAGAAAAA